GUGCAGCAGGCGCGAAACUUCGGCAAUGGGCGCAAUCCUGACCGAGCGACGCCGCGUGGAGGACGAAGGCCUUCGGGUUGUAAACUCCUGUCGAGGGGGAGGAAGGGGCAACCUUGACCGAUCCCUGGAGGAAGCACGGGCUAAGUUCGUGCCAGCAGCCGCGGUAAGACGAACCGUGCGAACGUUAUUCGGAAUCACUGGGCUUAAAGCGCGUGUAGGCGGGCCGCCCCGUCGGCUGCUGAAAUCCCCCGGCUCAACCGGGGAAGUGGCACCGAUACGAGCGGCCUCGAGGGGGGUAGGGGGUCUGGAACUUCCGGUGGAGCGGUGAAAUGCGUUGAGAUCGGAAGGAACGCCGUGGCGAAAGCGAGGCCCUGGACCCUUACUGACGCUGAGACGCGAGAGCCAGGGGAGCGAACGGGAUUAGAUACCCGGGUAGU
This 437-nucleotide ribosomal RNA is filed under the name uncultured organism. RNAcentral's name for it is "bacterial SSU rRNA". It matches the Rfam family "Bacterial small subunit ribosomal RNA", at positions 346 to 794 of the family's 1533-position model. The record is from RNAcentral.